This 500-nucleotide ribosomal RNA is filed under the name uncultured bacterium. RNAcentral describes it as "bacterial SSU rRNA". It matches the Rfam family "Bacterial small subunit ribosomal RNA", at positions 355 to 867 of the family's 1533-position model. The record is from RNAcentral.
UCGAGAAUCUUCCACAAUGGGCGCAAGCCUGAUGGAGCGAUGUCGCGUGAUUGAUGAAGUGUUUCGGCAUGUAAAGAUCUUUUCUCGAGGAGGAAGUUUAUUGACGUUACUCGAGGAAUAAGGGGUUGCUAAACUCGUGCCAGCAGCAGCGGUAAUACGAGUGCCCCAAGCGUUAUCCGGAAUUAUUGGGCGUAAAGGGUCCGCAGGCGGUUUUAUUAGUCUUGUGUGAAAUCUCCCGGCUUAACUGGGAAAACGCAUAGGAAACGGUAGAACUAGAGGAUGUGAGAGGUAUGUGGAACUCAUGGUGUAGGGGUGAAAUCCGUUGAUAUCAUGGGGAACACCGAAUGCGAAGGCAGCAUACUGGCACAUUCCUGACGCUCAGGGACGAAAGCACGGGUAGCGAAUGGGAUUAGAUACCCCAGUAGUCCGUGCCCUAAACGAUCCUGACUUGCUUUUUGGAGUAUCGACCCUCCAAGAGGCGUAGCUAACGCGUUAAGUCG